CCUACGGGAGGCAGCAGUAGGGAAUUUUGCUCAAUGGGCGAGAGCCUGACGCAGCCAAGCCGCGUGAACGAGACGCCCUUCGGGGUUUGAAAUUCUGUCAGUGGGGACGAAAAAUGCCGGUACCCCCAGAGGAAGCACCGGCCAACUCCGUUCCAGCAGCCGCGGUAAUACGGCGGGUGCCAGCGUUGUCCGGAAUCAUUGGGCGUAAAGCGUUCGUAGGCGGCAUGGAAAGUCAGGGGGUAAAGGCGCAGGCUCAACCUGUGUAUGGCAGUUGAGACUGGCAAGCUGGAAUGCGGUAGAGGUAAAGGGAAUUCCUGGUGUAGCGGUGAAAUGCUUAGAUAUCAGGAGGAACAGCGGUGGCGUAAGCGCUUUACUGGGCCGUAAUUGACGCUGAGGAACGAAAGCGAGGGUAGCAAAUGGGAUUAGAUACCCGUGUAGUC
This 440-nucleotide ribosomal RNA is filed under the name uncultured bacterium. RNAcentral describes it as "partial 16S ribosomal RNA". It matches the Rfam family "Bacterial small subunit ribosomal RNA", at positions 338 to 795 of the family's 1533-position model. The record is from RNAcentral.